RNAcentral lists this ribosomal RNA (463 nucleotides) under uncultured bacterium. Its description in RNAcentral is "bacterial SSU rRNA". It matches the Rfam family "Bacterial small subunit ribosomal RNA", at positions 28 to 507 of the family's 1533-position model. The record is from RNAcentral.
GAUGAACGCUAGCGGCGUGCCUAAUGCAUGCAAGUCGAACGGGACCCUUUGGACUCGUCUGAAGGUGAGAGUGGCGAACGGGUGAGUAACACGUUGGUGACCUACCCCAGAGAGGGGGAUAACCAUUGGAAACGAUGGCUAAUACCCCAGAUGUCAUUACUGUUAGAGGGUAAUGACUAAAGCUCCGGCGCUCUGGGAGGGGCCUGCGGCCCAUCAGCUAGUUGGUAGGGUAAUGGCCUACCAAGGCAAAGACGGGUAGGGGGCGUGAGAGCGUGGCCCCCCACACUGGUACUGACACACGGACCAGAUACCUACGGGUAGCAGCAGCAAGGAAUAUUGCCCAAUGGACGCAAGUCUGAGGCAGCAACGCCGCGUGGAGGAUGAAGGCCUUCGGGUUGUAAACUCCUUUUCUGGGGGAAGAGAAAGGACGGUACCCCAGGAAUAAGUCUCGGCUAACUACGUG